Molecule: small nucleolar RNA, 138 nt
Organism: Tachyglossus aculeatus (Australian echidna)
Lineage: Eukaryota; Metazoa; Chordata; Mammalia; Monotremata; Tachyglossidae
Source: RefSeq, a predicted model, not a curated record
ACCCUCUCAGGGUCGCAACUGGAGAGUUUCCAGUACUUUACCAGUCAUGACUACAGGAGGGAGAGUCAAGCGGAGACAAAACCACUCCAUCCCUAGCUUGGGCAGUGGCUAGUGAGUGGAAGGCAAUCUGCUACAAGU